GAAGCUUCUCUCACAUUUCACAAGUGGGCCAAAAUAGAAAGAGAGGAGUGGGGAAUGAGAGAGAAAAGUUUUGUGUCAGAUUUCCCAUAGAGGAGAAGAAACGAACUCAGUUUUGCUCAAUACCUCCAUAUCUCGGAG
This is a non-coding RNA of Caenorhabditis elegans, 138 nucleotides long. NCBI's taxonomy places the organism in Eukaryota, Metazoa, Nematoda, Chromadorea, Rhabditida, Rhabditidae. The record is from Ensembl.